UCUUCGGCAAUGGACGAAAGUCUGACCGAGCAACGCCGCGUGAGUGAAGAAGGUUUUCGUAUCGUAAAACUCUGUUGUUAGAGAAGAACAAGGAUGAGAAGAGAAUGUUCAUCCCUUGACGGUAUCUAACCAGAAAGCCACGUCUAACUACUUUCUAGCAUCCCCGGUAAUACGUAGGUGGCAAGCGUUGUCCGGAUUUAUUGGGCGUAAAGCGAGCGCAGGCGGUUCUUUAAGUCUGAUGUGAAAGCACCCGGCUCAACCGGGGAGGGUCAUUGGAAACUGGGGAACUUGAGUGCAGAAGAGGAGAGUGGAAUUCCAUGUGUAGCGGUGAAAUGCGUAGAUAUAUGGAGGAACACCAGUGGCGAAGGCGGCUCUCUGGUCUGUAACUGACGCUGAGGCUCGAAAGCGUGGGGAGCAAACAGG
This 423-nucleotide ribosomal RNA is filed under the name uncultured bacterium. RNAcentral describes it as "bacterial SSU rRNA". It matches the Rfam family "Bacterial small subunit ribosomal RNA", at positions 362 to 776 of the family's 1533-position model. The record is from RNAcentral.